RNAcentral lists this transfer RNA (64 nucleotides) under Microcebus rufus (brown mouse lemur). RNAcentral describes it as "tRNA-Ser". Lineage: Eukaryota; Metazoa; Chordata; Mammalia; Primates; Cheirogaleidae. The record is from RNAcentral.
AAAAGAGAGUGUAACAAUAGAACUGCUAAUUCUAUCUUCCAUAUAUAAAAAUAUGGCUCCCUUG